This is a long non-coding RNA of Oncorhynchus keta (chum salmon), 2252 nucleotides long. RefSeq lists it as uncharacterized. NCBI's taxonomy places the organism in Eukaryota, Metazoa, Chordata, Actinopteri, Salmoniformes, Salmonidae. The transcript has 4 exons. The record is from RefSeq and is a predicted model, not a curated record.
UGUGUGUGCACGUGCCUGUGUGUUCACUUAUGAUUUGUUCCCGAACAUUUCUUUCGGAAGCAAUGAUAUUGGGAAAGGCGUGAGAGUGCCGGUGUGUGUGUUGGGGGUAUGGUGAAGGCUGAAGAGGGUGGAGCCCAAGAUAGGUGGUUGAUAUUGCCUUUUUUAGACUUGUCUAAGUAGAUUUCACGUUAGUGUUCCUUUAUAGUAGAGUUUUGCCACUUUAGAAUCUUUGGUGUCUUUGACUGUUUCUUUACGAGUGUCUGUGGGUUUAGACUUGGCAGUGAUAGAGCAAGUGUGUUAGGGGGAAUAAAUAACAAGUAGUCUGCCACUCACGCAAGAAAUGAUUGAAGAAGAAAGGCUGUGACUCUGAAGAUUAAAUACACAAAUAAUUAUCACUCUCUUGAGAUGUUGACUCGCAUUACCUUUUGACUUCUUUGAUUUCUAAUUGAUUUGAAGCAAUCUAUGUGUCAUGUACUUGCGACAGUAUACUCACAUUCUCGAUGAACCGUCUUCAUUGCCAGACGUCGAAUAACCAACCAUGGCAUGAAAAACACAUUUGAUUGUGACAUUGGUUAAGCCUAUAUUGACCUAUAAAAGACUCCUCCCACGACUGGCCUGGGGGUUUCGGAAGUGUUUGCGGUAGACAAUGAGAUCAGCGGUAAUUAUGGAGAAUGUAUGUCUUCUGUGUAUAGGCACCAACUUGCCUUCGCGGAAGGCAUUGCGAAGCGCGGCACUUCCGACCCAUAGCCUUGGUGUGCGGUCCAUAAAAGAAAACCCUCGAGGCGCAGGGCAGCAGGCUAAGGAUAUGGACUGGGAAUCGACACGAGGAGGAGGAGGAGGAGGAGAUGAGAGAAUAUUGAAGUCGGUUUGUUUCUCAAUGUUUUCUCAGAUCAGCUCCAACUCGACGUGGACCGUUUAACACAUGCAGUCACAAAAGAGGAAAGAAAGGUGACAAGGGAAAGAGCUGCCACUGAGAGAAAGAAGAAGAAGAAGAAGAAGAAGAAGAAGGAGAGAUAUAUAUAUAUAUAUGCCACGGGGUCUGGGAACCAAACACAGUAUGAAGCUGCCUGGACCGGAUGAUGACGCUGCUAUACAGACUGGCUGCACCUUGCAGAAAAACGCCCUUUGUAGAUGAGUGGCCCAGUCAGGAUUACUUACUGCAGGGGUCUUAACCCGCCAACCAGCAGUACUACAUCUCAGAGGCUAAAAACAGACACGGAGACAUUCUUACCAAGGCCUCAUUACACUGCUCAAAAAAAUAAAGGGAACACUUAAACAACACACUGUAACUCCAAGUCAAUCACACUUCUGUGAAAUCAAACUGUCCACUUAGGAAGCAACACUGAUUGACAAUAAAUGUCACAUGCUGUUGUGCAAAUGGAAUAGACAACAGGUGCAAAUUAUAGGCAAUUAGCAAGACACCCCCAAUAAAGGAGUGGUUCUGCAGGUGGUGACCACAGACCACUUCUCAGUUCCUAUGUUUCCUGGCUGAUGUUUUGGUCACUUUUGAAUGCGGGUGGUGCUUUCACUCUAGUGGUAGCAUGAAACGGAGUCUACAACCCACACAAGUGGCUCAGGUAGUGCAGCUCAUCCAGGAUGGCACAUCAAUGCGAGCUGUGACAAGAAGGUUUGCUGUGUCUGUCAGCGUAGUGUCCAGAGCAUGGAGGCGUUACCAGGAGACAGGCCAGUACAUCAGGAGACGUGGAGGAGGCCGUAAGAGGGCAACAACCCAGCAGCAGGACUGCUACCUCCGCCUUUGUGCAAGGAGGAGCAGGAGGAGCACUGCCAGAGCCCUGCAAAAUGACCUCCAGCAGGCCGCAAUUGUGCAUGUGUCUGCUCAAACGGUCAGAAACAGACUCCAUGAGGGUGGUAUGAGGGCCCGACAUCCACGGGUGGGGGUUGUACUUACAGCCCAACACCGUGCAGGAUGUUUGGCAAAUUCGCCACUGGCCCUGUGCUCUUCACAGAUGAAAGCAGGUUUACACUGAGCACGUGACAGUCUGGAGACGCCGUGGAAAACGUUCUGCUGCCUGCAACAUCCUCCAGCAUGACCGGUUUGGCGGUGGGUCAGUAGCCUAGUGGGUAGAGUAGCCUAGUGGUUAGAGUGUUGGACUAGUAACCGAAAGGUUGCAAGUUCGAAUCCCCGAGCUGACAAGGUACAAAUCUGUCGUUCUGCCCCUGAACAGGCAGUUAACCCACUGUUCCUAGGCCGUCAUUGAAAAUAAGAAUUUGUUCUUAACUGACUUAAAAUA